GGGGAAUAUUGGACAAUGGGGGGAACCCUGAUCCAGCCAUGCCGCGUGUGUGAAGAAGGCCUUUUGGUUGUAAAGCACUUUAAGCGAGGAGGAGGCUACUGGUACUAAUACUACCAGUUAGUGGACGUUACUCGCAGAAUAAGCACCGGCUAACUCUGUGCCAGCAGCCGCGGUAAUACAGAGGGUGCGAGCGUUAAUCGGAUUUACUGGGCGUAAAGCGUGCGUAGGUGGCUUUUUAAGUCAAAUGUGAAAUCCCCGAGCUUAACUUGGGAAUUGCAUUCGAUACUGGGAGGCUAGAGUAUGGGAGAGGAUGGUAGAAUUCCAGGUGUAGCGGUGAAAUGCGUAGAGAUCUGGAGGAAUACCGAUGGCGAAGGCAGCCAUCUGGCCUAAUACUGACACUGAGGUACGAAAGCAUGGGGAGCAAAC
This 426-nucleotide ribosomal RNA is filed under the name uncultured bacterium. Its description in RNAcentral is "bacterial SSU rRNA". It matches the Rfam family "Bacterial small subunit ribosomal RNA", at positions 356 to 773 of the family's 1533-position model. The record is from RNAcentral.